Molecule: ribosomal RNA, 253 nt
Filed under: uncultured bacterium
Lineage: Bacteria
Description: partial 16S ribosomal RNA
Rfam family: Bacterial small subunit ribosomal RNA
Source: RNAcentral
UACGUAGGGACCGAGCGUUGUCCGGAAUCAUUGGGCGUAAAGAGCGUGUAGGCGGUCCGAUAAGUCCGCUCUGAAAGCCCGGGGCUCAACCCCGGGAGGCGGGCGGAUACUGUCGGGCUAGAGUCCGGAAGAGGCAAGUGGAAUUCCUGGUGUAGCGGUGAAAUGCGCAGAUAUCAGGAGGAACACCGAUGGCGAAGGCAGCUUGCUGGGACGGUACUGACGCUGAGACGCGAAAGCGUGGGGAGCAAACAGG